GUGGGGAAUCUUAGACAAUGGGGGAAACCCUGAUCUAGCCAUGCCGCGUGAUCGAUGAAGGCCUUAGGGUUGUAAAGAUCUUUCGCUGGGGAAGAUAAUGACUGUACCCAGUAAAGAAGCCCCGGCUAACUCCGUGCCAGCAGCCGCGGUAAUACGGAGGGGGCUAGCGUUAUUCGGAAUUACUGGGCGUAAAGCGCACGUAGGCGGACCAGAAAGUUGGGGGUGAAAUCCCGGGGCUCAACCUCGGAACUGCCUUCAAAACUCCUGGUCUUGAGUUCGAGAGAGGUGAGUGGAAUUCCGAGUGUAGAGGUGAAAUUCGUAGAUAUUCGGAGGAACACCAGUGGCGAAGGCGGCUCACUGGCUCGAUACUGACGCUGAGGUGCGAAAGCGUGGGGAGCAAACAGGAUUAGAAACCCCUGUAGUCC
RNAcentral lists this ribosomal RNA (425 nucleotides) under uncultured bacterium. RNAcentral describes it as "partial 16S ribosomal RNA". It matches the Rfam family "Bacterial small subunit ribosomal RNA", at positions 354 to 796 of the family's 1533-position model. The record is from RNAcentral.